AUUGAACGCUGGCGGCAGGCCUAACACAUGCAAGUCGAGCGGCAGAAGGGAGCUUGCAACAGGAUUCAGCGGCGGACGGGAAAGUAAUGCCAAGGAAUAUGCCUGGUAGUGGGAGAUAACGUCCGGAAACGGGCGCUAAUACCGAAUACGUCCUGAGGGAGAAAGUGGGGGAUACUCGGACCUCACGCUAUCAGAUGAGCGGAGGUCGGAUUAGCUAGUUGGUGGGGUAAAGGCCUACCAAGGCGACGAUACGUAACUGGUCUGAGAGGAUGAUCAGUCACAUUGGAACUGAGCUACGGUCCAGGCUCCUACGGGAGGCAGCGGUGGGGAAUAUUGGACAAGGGGCUAAAGCCUGCUCCAGCCAUGCCGCGUGUGUGAAGAAGGUCUUCGGAUUUUAAAUCUCUUUUAGUUUGGUGGAAGGGCAGUAAGUUAAUACCUUGCUGUUUUGACGUUACCAACAGAAUAAGCACCGGCUAACUUCGUG
Molecule: ribosomal RNA, 484 nt
Filed under: uncultured bacterium
Lineage: Bacteria
Description: partial 16S ribosomal RNA
Rfam family: Bacterial small subunit ribosomal RNA
Source: RNAcentral